AGUGAACGCUGGCGGUAGGCCUAACACAUGCAAGUCGAACGGCAGCACAGUUAGAGCUUGCUCUUACGGGUGGCGAGUGGCGGACAGGUGAGGAAUACAUCGGAAUCUACUUUUUCGUGGGGGAUAACGUAGGGAAACUUACGCUAAUACCGCAUACGACCUACGGGUGAAAGCAGGGGAUCUUCGGACCUUGCGCGAUUGAAUGAGCCGAUGUCGGAUUAGCUAGUUGGCGGGGUAAAGGCCCACCAAGGCGACGAUCCGUAGCUGGUCUGAGAGGAUGAUCAGCCACACUGGAACUGAGACACGGUCCAGACUCCUACGGGAGGCAGCAGUGGGGAAUAUUGGACAAUGGGCGCAAGCCUGAUCCAGCCAUACCGCGUGGGUGAAGAAGGCCUUCGGGUUGUAAAGCCCUUUUGUUGGGAAAGAAAAGCAGCAGGUUAAUACCCCGCUGUUCUGACGGUACCCAAAGAAUAAGCACCGGCUAACUUCGUG
RNAcentral lists this ribosomal RNA (492 nucleotides) under uncultured bacterium. RNAcentral describes it as "partial 16S ribosomal RNA". It matches the Rfam family "Bacterial small subunit ribosomal RNA", at positions 29 to 507 of the family's 1533-position model. The record is from RNAcentral.